GUUAUAACCGGCGAUUUCCGAAUGGGGAAACCCAGUGUGAUUCGUCACACUAUCAUUAACUGAAUCCAUAGGUUAAUGAGGCGAACCGGGGGAACUGAAACAUCUAAGUACCCCGAGGAAAAGAAAUCAACCGAGAUUCCCCCAGUAGCGGCGAGCGAACGGGGAGCAGCCCAGAGCCUGAAUCAGUGUGUGUGUUAGUGGAAGCGUCUGGAAAGGCGCGUGAUACAGGGUGACAGCCCCGUACACAAAAAUGCACAUGCUGUGAGCUCGAUGAGUAGGGCGGGACACGUGGUAUCCUGUCUGAAUAUGGGGGGACCAUCCUCCAAGGCUAAAUACUCCUGACUGACCGAUAGUGAACCAGUACCGUGAGGGAAAGGCGAAAAGAACCCCGGCGAGGGGAGUGAAAAAGAACCUGAAACCGUGUACGUACAAGCAGUGGGAGCACGCUUAGGCGUGUGACUGCGUACCUUUUGUAUAAUGGGUCAGCGACUUAUAUUCUGUAGCAAGGUUAACCGAAUAGGGGAGCCGAAGGGAAACCGAGUCUUAACUGGGCGUUAAGUUGCAGGGUAUAGACCCGAAACCCGGUGAUCUAGCCAUGGGCAGGUUGAAGGUUGGGUAACACUAACUGGAGGACCGAACCGACUAAUGUUGAAAAAUUAGCGGAUGACUUGUGGCUGGGGGUGAAAGGCCAAUCAAACCGGGAGAUAGCUGGUUCUCCCCGAAAGCUAUUUAGGUAGCGCCUCGUGAAUUCAUCUCCGGGGGUAGAGCACUGUUUCGGCAAGGGGGUCAUCCCGACUUACCAACCCGAUGCAAACUGCGAAUACCGGAGAAUGUUAUCACGGGAGACACACGGCGGGUGCUAACGUCCGUCGUGAAGAGGGAAACAACCCAGACCGCCAGCUAAGGUCCCAAAGUCAUGGUUAAGUGGGAAACGAUGUGGGAAGGCCCAGACAGCCAGGAUGUUGGCUUAGAAGCAGCCAUCAUUUAAAGAAAGCGUAAUAGCUCACUGGUCGAGUCGGCCUGCGCGGAAGAUGUAACGGGGCUAAACCAUGCACCGAAGCUGCGGCAGCGACGCUUAUGCGUUGUUGGGUAGGGGAGCGUUCUGUAAGCCUGUGAAGGUGUACUGUGAGGUAUGCUGGAGGUAUCAGAAGUGCGAAUGCUGACAUAAGUAACGAUAAAGCGGGUGAAAAGCCCGCUCGCCGGAAGACCAAGGGUUCCUGUCCAACGUUAAUCGGGGCAGGGUGAGUCGACCCCUAAGGCGAGGCCGAAAGGCGUAGUCGAUGGGAAACAGGUUAAUAUUCCUGUACUUGGUGUUACUGCGAAGGGGGGACGGAGAAGGCUAUGUUGGCCGGGCGACGGUUGUCCCGGUUUAAGCGUGUAGGCUGGUUUUCCAGGCAAAUCCGGAAAAUCAAGGCUGAGGCGUGAUGACGAGGCACUACGGUGCUGAAGCAACAAAUGCCCUGCUUCCAGGAAAAGCCUCUAAGCAUCAGGUAACAUCAAAUCGUACCCCAAACCGACACAGGUGGUCAGGUAGAGAAUACCAAGGCGCUUGAGAGAACUCGGGUGAAGGAACUAGGCAAAAUGGUGCCGUAACUUCGGGAGAAGGCACGCUGAUAUGUAGGUGAAGUCCCUCGCGGAUGGAGCUGAAAUCAGUCGAAGAUACCAGCUGGCUGCAACUGUUUAUUAAAAACACAGCACUGUGCAAACACGAAAGUGGACGUAUACGGUGUGACGCCUGCCCGGUGC
This 1746-nucleotide ribosomal RNA is filed under the name Escherichia coli. RNAcentral's name for it is "partial 23S ribosomal RNA". It matches the Rfam family "Bacterial large subunit ribosomal RNA", at positions 97 to 1869 of the family's 2925-position model. The record is from RNAcentral. Lineage: Bacteria; Pseudomonadati; Pseudomonadota; Gammaproteobacteria; Enterobacterales; Enterobacteriaceae.